GGCGGAGUAGCUCAGGUGGUUAGAGCAGCGGAAUCAUAAUCCGCGCGUCGGGGGUUCGAGUCCCCCCUCCGCUA
This 74-nucleotide transfer RNA is filed under the name Candidatus Midichloria mitochondrii IricVA. It matches the Rfam family "tRNA". Rfam says of the family: Transfer RNA (tRNA) molecules are approximately 80 nucleotides in length. Their secondary structure includes four short double-helical elements and three loops (D, anti-codon, and T loops). Further hydrogen bonds mediate the characteristic L-shaped molecular structure. tRNAs have two regions of fundamental functional importance: the anti-codon, which is responsible for specific mRNA codon recognition, and the 3' end, to which the tRNAs corresponding amino acid is attached (by aminoacyl-tRNA synthetases). tRNAs cope with the degeneracy of the genetic code in two manners: having more than one tRNA (with a specific anti-codon) for a particular amino acid; and 'wobble' base-pairing, i.e. permitting non-standard base-pairing at the 3rd anti-codon position. Lineage: Bacteria; Pseudomonadati; Pseudomonadota; Alphaproteobacteria; Rickettsiales; Candidatus Midichloriaceae. The record is from Rfam by way of RNAcentral.